RNAcentral lists this ribosomal RNA (433 nucleotides) under uncultured bacterium. RNAcentral describes it as "partial 16S ribosomal RNA". It matches the Rfam family "Bacterial small subunit ribosomal RNA", at positions 29 to 507 of the family's 1533-position model. The record is from RNAcentral.
AAUGAACGCUGGCGGCAGGCCUAACACAUGCAAGUCGAACGAAGGCUUCGUCCUUAGUGGCGCAUGGGUGCGGAACGUGGGGGAAUGUGCCGGUUUCCAUCGAAUAAUACUUAGAAAUGGCUGCUAAUACCGGGAAAUUUCCCAUAACCAAAGAUCCAACGGCAGAGGGUGAGCGGGCGUAGGUUUGGCUUGUUGCGAGGGUAAGGGCCUACCAAGGCGUCGAUCGUUAGCUGGGCUGAGAGGAUGAUCAGCGACACUGAGGCGGAGACACGGCCCGGAAUCCUAGGGGAUGCAGGAGUGGGGAAUAUUGGAAAAUGGGCGGAAGCAUGAAGCCGCAAGGCCGGGUGAGUGAUGAAGGCCUUAGGGUUGUAAAGCUCUUUUAUCCGGGAUGAUAAUGACGGUACCGGGAGAAUAAGCACCGGCUAACUUCGUG